Molecule: non-coding RNA, 20 nt
Filed under: Arabidopsis thaliana (thale cress)
Lineage: Eukaryota; Viridiplantae; Streptophyta; Magnoliopsida; Brassicales; Brassicaceae
Source: RNAcentral
UGAACUUUCAAGAAGACAUU